RNAcentral lists this ribosomal RNA (628 nucleotides) under uncultured Lachnospiraceae bacterium. RNAcentral describes it as "bacterial SSU rRNA". It matches the Rfam family "Bacterial small subunit ribosomal RNA", at positions 68 to 706 of the family's 1533-position model. Lineage: Bacteria; Bacillati; Bacillota; Clostridia; Lachnospirales; Lachnospiraceae. The record is from RNAcentral.
GGGCAGAUUCUUCGGAUGAAGUCCAUGGUGACUGAGUGGCGGACGGGUGAGUAACGCGUGGGUAACCUGCCUCAUACAGGGGGAUAACAGUUAGAAAUGGCUGCUAAUACCGCAUAAGCGCACGGUACUGCAUGGUACAGUGUGAAAAACUCCGGUGGUAUGAGAUGGACCCGCGUUGGAUUAGCUAGUUGGCAGGGUAACGGCCUACCAAGGCGACGAUCCAUAGCCGGCCUGAGAGGGUGGACGGCCACAUUGGGACUGAGACACGGCCCAGACUCCUACGGGAGGCAGCAGUGGGGAAUAUUGCACAAUGGGGGAAACCCUGAUGCAGCGACGCCGCGUGAGCGAAGAAGUAUUUCGGUAUGUAAAGCUCUAUCAGCAGGGAAGAAAAUGACGGUACCUGACUAAGAAGCCCCGGCUAACUACGUGCCAGCAGCCGCGGUAAUACGUAGGGGGCAAGCGUUAUCCGGAUUUACUGGGUGUAAAGGGAGCGUAGACGGAAUGGCAAGUCUGAUGUGAAAGGCCGGGGCUCAACCCCGGGACUGCAUUGGAAACUGUCAAUCUAGAGUACCGGAGGGGUAAGUGGAAUUCCUAGUGUAGCGGUGAAAUGCGUAGAUAUUAGGAGGAA